CCCUGUUUCAGUUGCCCAUUGUGCCCUAUAGGAGAUGCUCUGUAUGAUGGUCUUGUAACGUAGAGAGAGAGCUUUAGGUUUGGUGGGCAUUUUGCGGCACCUGUCGUAGAUCUCUAGAGCCUCAUUUUGACCUGCAUGGGACAAAUCAGCCUGUGCGUAUACAUGUGUGUGAAUAAUGCUUUUGAGCUGCAGGUACAAGAAAAGAUAGGAGUUUGGUAGACCAAAUUGCUGUUGUAGCUCUGGGAAGGGGAGAACUUUGUUCUGGUGUUGCAUGGAUUCAAUGGAUAUUAUGCCAUGUUUGACCCAGUUUUGAAAGGUAAGCCCAGGGCUGACCAUGCUGAUGGAUGUGAGGGGUGCACCUGGAUGGAAUCGAAGGUGGGUGUGGUGUUGCUUCUGAAGGAGGUCCCAGUGGUGCAUUGCUAGUUUCGUAGUGAGGAACAGGCCCGGUAGGUUUGGGCGUAAUGCUUUAGGGGUCCACAGUAGGUCUGUUAGCCUCCGUCCAUGGCUGCUCCCAUUUUCUAUGUCCACCUAUUGGAGUGUUUUAUCUGGGGUAUGUAAUUUUAUUGCUGCUUCGAUAUGGAUGGCUUUGUAGUAGGACAGUAAAUUAUUCCUCCCCUAGAGCUCUUCCUAUGUAGUAGGGAUGCAGGUAUCCUUGGUUUGUCUGGAGCCCACAAGAAGGUCAUAAAGACCGAUUGUAACUGUUUGCAGAACGAGACAGGGAUAUGUAUUGGCAACAUGCGAAAAAUUUAUAGGACUUUUGGGAGCAGGACCAUUUUGAUUGUGUUAUUUCUUCCUAGCCAAGAAAGGUGGAUUGACUUCCACUUGAGGAUGUCUGUUUUGCAUUGAGAGAUUAGUGGUUUGAAAUUGUGUGCAAAUAAUUCUCCCGUUGUAGGGGCUAUCUUGAUCCCUAGGUAGGUGAUGUGGUUAGUGCGCCAAUGAAAAGCGUGUUGUUGUUGGAGCGUUUGUAAUAAGGUUGGGAUGGCUAUAGGCAAGGCCUGGGUUUUGGAUCUAUUCAGCUUAUAGUUAGAGACUGCACCUUAUGAGUCCAAGAUAGACAACAGUGCCCGUAGUGACUUGUCAGGUUUGCUUAGGGUUAGUAGUAUGUCAUCUGCAAAUAGGGAUAAUCGGUGUUCCUGUUUUCCUAUCCGGAUUCCCCUAAUGUGUUGGUGCGAUCUAAUCUUGUGCGCUAGGGGUUCUAGUGACAGGGGGACAAUGGGCAUCCCUGCCUGGUCCCAUUUGUGAUUCAAAAUGGUGUGGAUAGGAAUCCUGCGUUAGAUACUCUGGCUGUGGGGUUGUUGUAAAGGGCCAUUAUGCCUUGUAGAAACACGGGUGGGAAGCCGUUAUGCAGUAG
Pelobates cultripes (western spadefoot toad) is the source of this 1351-nucleotide non-coding RNA. Lineage: Eukaryota; Metazoa; Chordata; Amphibia; Anura; Pelobatidae. The record is from the annotation of a GenBank genome assembly.